AGUGAACGCUGGCGGUAGGCCUAACACAUGCAAGUCGAACGGCAGCACAGUAAGAGCUUGCUCUUACGGGUGGCGAGUGGCGGACGGGUGAGGAAUACAUCGGAAUCUACUUUUUCGUGGGGGAUAACGUAGGGAAACUUACGCUAAUACCGCAUACGACCUACGGGUGAAAGCAGGGGAUCUUCGGACCUUGCGCGAUUGAAUGAGCCGAUGUCGGAUUAGCUAGUUGGCGGGGUAAAGGCCCACCAAGGCGACGAUCCGUAGCUGGUCUGAGAGGAUGAUCGGCCACACUGGAACUGAGACACGGUCCAGACUCCUACGGGAGGCCGCAGUGGGGAAUAUUGGACAAUGGGCGCAAGCCUGAUCCAGCCAUGCCGCGUGGGUGGAGAAGGCCUUCGGGUUGUAAAGCCCUUUUGUUGGGAAAGAAAAGCAGCAGGUUAAUACCCCGCUGUUCUGACGGUACCCAAAGAAUAAGCACCGGCUAACUUCGUG
This 492-nucleotide ribosomal RNA is filed under the name uncultured bacterium. RNAcentral describes it as "partial 16S ribosomal RNA". It matches the Rfam family "Bacterial small subunit ribosomal RNA", at positions 29 to 507 of the family's 1533-position model. The record is from RNAcentral.